Molecule: ribosomal RNA, 254 nt
Filed under: uncultured bacterium
Lineage: Bacteria
Description: partial 16S ribosomal RNA
Rfam family: Bacterial small subunit ribosomal RNA
Source: RNAcentral
UACGUAGGGUGCGAGCGUUAAUCGGAAUUACUGGGCGUAAAGCGUGCGCAGGCGGCGCGUUAAGACAGGUGUGAAAGCCCCCGAGCUUAACUUGGGAAUUGCGCUUGUGACUGGCGUGCUGGAGUGUGGCAGAGGGAGGUGGAAUUCCACGUGUAGCAGUGAAAUGCGUAGAGAUGUGGAGGAACACCGAUGGCGAAGGCAGCCUCCUGGGCCAGCACUGACGCUCAUGCACGAAAGCGUGGGGAGCAAACAGG